Non-coding RNA from Meleagris gallopavo (turkey), 231 nucleotides. NCBI's taxonomy places the organism in Eukaryota, Metazoa, Chordata, Aves, Galliformes, Phasianidae. The record is from RefSeq and is a predicted model, not a curated record.
GGGUAGUGCUGCUACAGCUCUGUGUCCUCCUGGGCAAGAGCAAAAAAAAGUGCACACACAGUUUGGUCUUAAGAGCCCAGCUUCCAGCUUCUAUCACUGCAGCCAAAGGAUUGGAUUGUUGUAAAGGAUUGUAGCAGCUGAGAGCAAACAGACUCCAGACUGAGAACACCCACUGUGGGACUGUGUUACUCCACAGGACAACCUAUGGGUUCCAGGUCUCCUCAGGCCCCC